UACGGAGGAUGCGAGCGUUAUCCGGAUUUAUUGGGUUUAAAGGGUGCGUAGGCGGACUGUCAAGUCAGCGGUAAAAUUGAGAGGCUCAACCUCUUCCCGCCGUUGAAACUGGUGGCCUUGAGUGGAUGAGAAGUACGCGGAAUGCGUGGUGUAGCGGUGAAAUGCAUAGAUAUCACGCAGAACUCCGAUUGCGAAGGCAGCGUACCGGCAUCCAACUGACGCUGACGCACGAAAGCGUGGGGAUCAAACAGG
RNAcentral lists this ribosomal RNA (252 nucleotides) under uncultured bacterium. RNAcentral describes it as "partial 16S ribosomal RNA". It matches the Rfam family "Bacterial small subunit ribosomal RNA", at positions 524 to 776 of the family's 1533-position model. The record is from RNAcentral.